RNAcentral lists this ribosomal RNA (163 nucleotides) under Plazia daphnoides. RNAcentral describes it as "5.8S ribosomal RNA". It matches the Rfam family "5.8S ribosomal RNA". From Rfam's summary of the family: 5.8S ribosomal RNA (5.8S rRNA) is a component of the large subunit of the eukaryotic ribosome. It is transcribed by RNA polymerase I as part of the 45S precursor that also contains 18S and 28S rRNA. Lineage: Eukaryota; Viridiplantae; Streptophyta; Magnoliopsida; Asterales; Asteraceae. The record is from RNAcentral.
AAAUGACUCUUGGCAACAGAUAUCUCGGCUCACGCAUCGAUGAAAAAUGUAGCAAAAUACGAUACUUGGUGUAAAUUGCAGAAUCCCGUGAACCAGUGGAUUUUUGAACGCAAGUUGCCCCAGAAGCCAUUAGGCCGAGGGCACGUCUGUCUGGRCGUCACGC